This 684-nucleotide ribosomal RNA is filed under the name uncultured bacterium. Its description in RNAcentral is "bacterial SSU rRNA". It matches the Rfam family "Bacterial small subunit ribosomal RNA", at positions 337 to 1011 of the family's 1533-position model. The record is from RNAcentral.
UCCUACGGGAGGCAGCAGUGAGGAAUAUUGCGCAAUGGGGGCAACCCUGACGCAGCGACGCCGUGUGGGUGAGGAAGGCUUUCGGGUCGUAAAGCCCUGUCAGGUGGGAAGAAAUGGUUAUUAGUUAAUACCUAAUAUUCUUGACGGUACCACCAAAGGAAGCACCGGCUAACUCCGUGCCAGCAGCCGCGGUAAUACGGAGGGUGCAAGCGUUGUUCGGAAUUACUGGGCGUAAAGGGCGCGUAGGCGGCCUAUUAAGUCAGAUGUGAAAGCCCACGGCUUAACCGUGGAAGUGCAUUUGAAACUGGUAGGCUUGAGUAUCAGAGGGGAAAGUGGAAUUCCCGGUGUAGAGGUGAAAUUCGUAGAUAUCGGGAGGAAUACCGGUGGCGAAGGCGACUUUCUGGCUGAAUACUGACGCUGAGGCGCGAAAGCGUGGGGAGCAAACAGGAUUAGAUACCCUGGUAGUCCACGCCGUAAACGAUGAGAACUAGAUGUUGGGGGUGUUGAUCCCUUCAGUGUCGCAGCUAACGCAUUAAGUUCUCCGCCUGGGGAGUACGGUCGCAAGAUUAAAACUUAAAGGAAUUGACGGGGGCCCGCACAAGCGGUGGAGUAUGUGGUUUAAUUCGAUGCAACGCGAAGAACCUUACCUGGUCUUGACAUCCCGAGAAUUUUCUGGAAACAGAA